This 250-nucleotide ribosomal RNA is filed under the name uncultured bacterium. Its description in RNAcentral is "partial 16S ribosomal RNA". It matches the Rfam family "Bacterial small subunit ribosomal RNA", at positions 524 to 773 of the family's 1533-position model. The record is from RNAcentral.
AACGUAGGUGGCAAGCGUUAUCCGGAUUUACUGGGCGUAAAGCGUGUGCAGGCGGAUGGCCAAGUGGUGUAUGAAAUCGCCCGGCUUAACCGGGCGGGGUUAUGCCAGACUGGUCGUCUGGAGUACGGGAGAGGGGCGUGGAAUUCCGGGUGUAGUGGUGAAAUGCGUAGAGAUCCGGAGGAACCCCAGCGGCGAAGGCGGCGCCCUGGCCCGUAACUGACGCUCAGACACGACAGCAUGGGGAGCGAAC